AGUGAACGCUGGCGGUAGGCCUAACACGUGCAAGUCGAACGGCAGCACAGUAAGAGCUUGCUCUUGCGGGUGGCGAGUGGCGGACGGGUGAGGAAUACAUCGGAAUCUACUUUUUCGUGGGGGAUAACGUAGGGAAACUUACGCUAAUACCGCAUACGACCUACGGGUGAAAGCAGGGGAUCUUCGGACCUUGCGCGAUUGAAUGAGCCGAUGUCGGAUUAGCUAGUUGGCGGGGUAAAGGCCCACCAAGGCGACGAUCCGUAGCUGGUCUGAGAGGAUGAUCAGCCACACUGGAACUGAGACACGGUCCAGACUCCUACGGGAGGCAGCAGUGGGGAAUAUUGGACAAUGGGCGCAAGCCUGAUCCAGCCAUACCGCGUGGGUGAAGAAGGCCUUCGGGUUGUAAAGCCCUUUUGUUGGGAAAGAAAAGCAGCAGGUUAAUACCCCGCUGUUCCGACGGUACCCAAAGAAUAAGCACCGGCUAACUUCGUG
This 492-nucleotide ribosomal RNA is filed under the name uncultured bacterium. RNAcentral's name for it is "partial 16S ribosomal RNA". It matches the Rfam family "Bacterial small subunit ribosomal RNA", at positions 29 to 507 of the family's 1533-position model. The record is from RNAcentral.